UAUUUCAGUAAGCCUGCUUGUGUUAUUGAAAAGGGUUAUAAAUGUUUACAUGUGUUCUAAUGGGAGAUGAUAGACAUGGUCAGCUAAAAUGGUUGCUUCUGCUGGGAUAGGGCCUGAAGACCACAUUACACCAGACUGUAUAUUCUUUGUAGAAUGAUAAAGGUUUGGGUUUCUUUGUCUUUUGGGGAGUCACUGUGAGUCAUGAGGUGUGAAUUAGGAACUAACUUUGACACUGCAACUUUGUGAGUGGGGGAGCCUGUUUGAAAAAAAUGAAUUUCAGGGCUUUGACUUCUAAUCAUUACAUUUUUUCCCCCAUAAAAUGGCAACCAGAGUUUUGGAGCCAGUGCAAGGAGUGCUGGUGGAGUGCCUGUAUUGUGGGAGGAGGUUGAGAUGUCUACGCCUAGCUGUCCCAGUACACAAGCCACUGAUGAGGCAAAUGGGCUUGAUCCUGAACAGAUGCAAAAGGACCAAAAGCCUCACUCUCGUCGUCUUG
Long non-coding RNA from Fundulus heteroclitus (mummichog), 493 nucleotides. RefSeq lists it as uncharacterized. Lineage: Eukaryota; Metazoa; Chordata; Actinopteri; Cyprinodontiformes; Fundulidae. The transcript has 3 exons. The record is from RefSeq and is a predicted model, not a curated record.